RNAcentral lists this ribosomal RNA (423 nucleotides) under uncultured bacterium. RNAcentral describes it as "partial 16S ribosomal RNA". It matches the Rfam family "Bacterial small subunit ribosomal RNA", at positions 359 to 774 of the family's 1533-position model. The record is from RNAcentral.
GAAUUUUAGGCAAUGGGGGAAACCCUGACCGAGCAAUGCUGCGUGAAUGAUGAAGGUCUUCGGACGGUAAAGUUCUGUUAUCGGGAACGAAUAAAAUAGCGAGGAAAUAGGCCAUGCAUGACGGUACACGAGAAAAAAGCCCCGGCUAACUAUGUGCCAGCCGCCGCAGUAAUACAUAGGGGGCAAGCGUUAUCCGGAAUUAGUGGGCGUAAAGCGUGUGUAGGCGGCCCAUUAAGUCUUGCGUGAAAUCCCACAGCUUAACUGUGGAGGUUCGUUGGAAACUGAUGGGCUUGAGUACGGUAGAGGUAAGUGGAAUUCCAAGUGGAGCGUUAGAAUGCGUAGAUAUUUGGAGGAACACCAGUGGCGAAGGCGGCUUACUGGGCCGGAACUGACGCUGAGACACGAAAGCGUGGGGAGCAAACA